Molecule: ribosomal RNA, 468 nt
Filed under: uncultured bacterium
Lineage: Bacteria
Description: partial 16S ribosomal RNA
Rfam family: Bacterial small subunit ribosomal RNA
Source: RNAcentral
GACGAACGCUGGCGGCGUGCUUAACACAUGCAAGUCGAACGGAAAGGCCCUGCUUUUGUGGGGUGCUCGAGUGGCGAACGGGUGAGUAACACGUGAGUAACCUGCCCUGGACUUUGGGAUAACUUCAGGAAACCGGGGCUAAUACCGGAUAGGUGCUCCUGCAGCAUGGUGGGGGUUGGAAAGUUUCGGCGGAUGGGGCUGGACUCCCGGCUUAUGAGCUUGUUGGUGGGGUAGUGGCUUACCAAGGCUUUGACUGAUAGCCGGCCUGAGAGGGUGAACAGCCACAUGGCGACUGCGGUACGGACCAGACUCGUACGUGAGGCAGUGGUCGGAAGUAUUAUACAAUGGGCGGAAGUCUGAUGCAGCAGCGCCGGGUGCGGAAUGACGGCCUUCGGGGUGUAAACCGCUGUCGCCUGUGACGUAGCGGGAGUGACGGUAAUGGGUAAAGAAGCACCGGCUAACUACGUG